CAACUCUUUUAUAUAUCUAAUUAAUUCUAGGUAUGCUGGAGUUCCCGUCGUGGCGCAGUGGUUAACGAAUCCGACUAGGAACCAUGAGGUUGCGGGUUCGGUCCCUGCCCUUGCUCAGUGGGUUAACGAUCCGGCGUUGCCGUGAGCUGUGGUGUAGGUUGCAGACGUGGCUCGGAUCCCACGUUGCUGUGGCUCUGGCAUAGGCUGGCAGCUACAGCUCCGAUUAGACCCCUAGCCUAGGAAAACUCCAUACGCCGCGGGAGCAGCCCGAGAAAUAGCAAAAAGACAAAAAAUAAUAAUAAUAAUAAUAAUAAUAAUAAUUCUAGGUAUGCUAAACGUGUAUGUUUCUGUUUAAAAAUGAUUUUGUCCCCCUCUUUGUAGAUCUUCUAAUUGGAAGAAAGAAAAUCUUUUGAAGUAGAAGUUCAGUGAAGGGCCUCAUUGUUUCAUAACCCUAGGGGCAAAGCAUUGUCUCUCUUCACUCCAAGCCCCCCAAGAAGCACAGAGUCUGCACUCAGAUGUUUUCUCUUGGUUUGUCAGUCAUGCUGUUCAUGCUGUUCUCAUCCUUUCAAACAUGGUAAAUGUGGUAAAGACAUUUAUGAACAAAGGGAUGAAGUGUUUCUGAAGGACCACCCGAGAGAGUCAGGGGACAUAUCUUCAUGUUUAAGGUAGGUCUUACAGAGUGAGUCUAAAUUUGUCAGGUGUAAAGGUGGAAGAAGGGCAUUCUAGAAAAAAAUGAAGUGGAAUAUUAUGUGCAAAGCUCAGCAUAGAAAGGUUAUGGUGUGUUUGGAAAACAGCAAAAAGCAGAUAAGGCUAAAAUAAUUCUAGCUGUCAGCAUGGAGGAUAGAAAGAGUAAAGAUGGAUUGGUGACAAUAGAGACAGGUGGGAGGCUAUCUCAGCAAUUAGCCAACCGCUACUGAGGGCUCAGACCAAGAAGGUUAGUGGGAAUGAAGACAAUAAGUUGGAUUCAAAAAAUAUUUCAGAGGUAGCAUAAGCAGCAUUUGAUGAUGGAAUAAUUGUUUCAGGGAAAUUAUGCAGUGAAUUUGGGGGACAAUGACCCAUUAAACGAGACAGCAAAUACAAGUGGUAAAGCAGGUUUGGGAUGCUCAGAUAAAAGAGUGGAAACACACCUAACGCAAAUGCUGGGGGAAGCAUGUCCAUACCCAUGCCUAUGGGGAAAUGGAAGUAAAGAGGAUGAAACAACUUUCUAGCACUUUAUUCUUCCUGUUUUCAAAAAUAACUUGAGACAACUGUCAAUAUUUGUGGUGGUGCACACAGUUGCUUAUAUUAGUUUCUGUAGUUUUUAAUUUUAAAAAGUAAUGCUUGGAAUUAUUUCUUUAAAAGAAAUAAUGUAUCAAGCCUCUGGAAUACCCACUAUGUGCUUGGAACUGUUCUAGGCAUUUGAGAUAUUUGCCUUCUACUUGCCUCUUCCUUUCAGGAGUGAUCCAGCUGGACUUUAGAAAUAGGUGGUUCCAUUUUGCCCCGAGGCCAGUGACUCUUCCUUCCUGGGUCUCUUUCACCUCUCAACUCCUAUGAUUCAAUACUGUAAGGGCAACACAGUAUUCCUUAUUCUCACCGAGGUGGGCCCCACAGUGCAGUUCAUUGCCAUAAUUCCUUUCGGGGAGUGUACCUGAAGGGCUGAUUUACUUAGAACGUUUUCCAAAUGGUCUUUUACACCUCUGCCUCCUACCCAAUCGUAGCCAAAAAUAAUUGAUUUUCCUCAUGGACUUUCAAACUUGCAAGGGAAUCUCGGUAACAUUUUUGGUAAUGGGGUAAUCCUAAUUCCUUACUAACCAAGAGCAGCAAUUUCUGUACUUUAAGCUUUACGCGCUGUGAGCGAACAGUUAAAAACAAAAUAAAAAUUUCUCCUUUCACGCAGUUUACAUUCUAAUGAACGGAGAUGUCAAAAAAAACAACAAAAACAAACAAUACAAGGACGACACAGUGCAUCAUUAUUGUGCAGGGCAAAGUAAGGUGAGUAGUGAAAUACGAGUCUCUUGACUCCUGAGAAACCGAAUCUUAAGUAAAUUCUUCCGGGUCUCUGACCUCCGCCCGCUUGGGUUUCAUACUCCGCCCACUGCCCCACCUUCUGGCACUGGCCACACCCACGCUCAUGACGUCUAUUUUCCCGGCCCUGGCUCACUGACCUGGCCAAUCGAAAGCCACAGACCCGCUAGAGCCCCCUUAAGCCCCGCCUGGUGA
Molecule: long non-coding RNA, 2199 nt
Filed under: Sus scrofa (pig)
Lineage: Eukaryota; Metazoa; Chordata; Mammalia; Artiodactyla; Suidae
Description: lncRNA (ENSSSCG00060034697.1)
Source: RNAcentral